UUGAAGUCUAAAGGGUUAAGGUUUGGGC
RNAcentral lists this small RNA (28 nucleotides) under Bombyx mori (domestic silkworm). RNAcentral's name for it is "piRNA piR-bmo-1778781". The record is from RNAcentral. Lineage: Eukaryota; Metazoa; Arthropoda; Insecta; Lepidoptera; Bombycidae.